Molecule: ribosomal RNA, 321 nt
Filed under: uncultured fungus
Lineage: Eukaryota; Fungi
Description: LSU rRNA
Rfam family: Bacterial large subunit ribosomal RNA
Source: RNAcentral
UNAAUACACAAGGGGGCCGCACAAAAUCGGAGGCCCCGGCUGNUUAUUAAAAACACAACACAGUGCAAUCAUUAAUAUGAUAGUAUACUGUGUGAAAUUUGCCCGAUGCCAUUAAUAUAAGAGCGGUCAUGGGAAACUGUGACUAAUCGAAAAUCUGGUUAAUAGCGGUCUUAACUAUGAGGAUCCUAAGGUAGCAAAAUCAGUUGGCCAUUAAAUGUGGUCCGGUAUCAAUAAUGUAACGAUGGCCUCACUGUCUCUACAACUUGCUCAGUGAAAUNGNAUUACACGUGCAGAUGCGUGNUGCCUCCAGGGGCACCGAUC